Quercus lobata is the source of this 3533-nucleotide RNA transcript. RefSeq lists it as uncharacterized. The record is from RefSeq and is a predicted model, not a curated record. Lineage: Eukaryota; Viridiplantae; Streptophyta; Magnoliopsida; Fagales; Fagaceae. The transcript is spliced from 10 exons.
CAUGGGUUGCUGCUGUUAUUGCAGUUAGUUGUUUCAUGGCACAUGAAAGCUGCUACCAUGUGUGAAUUUUCCAAGCAGGAGUUUAUGGGUGGGCUACAAGGGCUAGGGAUAGACUCUUUGGAGAAGUUCUGUGAAAAGAUACCAUUUAUGCGCAUGGAGCUGAAAGAUGAUCAAAAGUUCCGUGAGAUAUAUAACUUUGUGUUUGGCUCAUCAAACAGAGUUUAUGGCUCUAUUGAUAACAAUGCGAGGGGAUUAAUGUGGGAUGAGUUGGUUGGUGUUCAGCAAUAUUGGAAUGUCCCUUGGUGUUGUAUUGGGGAUUUCAAUAUUGUCCGCUUCCCUAGUGAACGUUUGGGUAAUUCUCGUCUCACUCCGGCAAUGGAACUUUUUUCGGAGUUCGUCGAGGACCUUAAUUUGAUUGAUUUGCCUUUGGAGGGAGGGAGCUAUACCUGGUCUAGAGGGUCAGUUCGGCCUUCGAUGUCUAGGAUAGACAGAGUUUUGGUGUCUCAGGAGUGGGAGGAGCAUUAUCCGGAUGUGAUCCAACGGAUUUUACCUCGCCCUGUUUUUGACCAUUUCCCUAUUCUAGUGGAGGUGGGGGGAAUGGCGAGGGGGAAAAGUCCGUUUAGGUUUGAGAAUAUGUGGCUCAAGACGGAAGGCUUUAUUGAUAGAGUUGAGUCUUGGUGGAAUCGUCAUUCUUUCUCUGGCACUCCUAGUUUUGUGUUUGCCAAAAAAUUGAAGGCCUUGAAAGAGGACAUCGUUCGGUGGAAUCGUUUGGAGUUUGGUCAUGUUGGUCGCAAAAAGUCUCAAUUAUUAGAGACUUUGAAUUCUUUAGAUGCCAAGGAAGGGGAGUUUGGUCUCUCUGAUGCAGAGUCUUGUGAGAGAGCGGUGGCGAGAUCUGAAGUGGAUGGGGUGAUCUAUGAGGAGGAAUCUGAGAUGGCUGCUCAGGUUGUGCAUUUUUAUAAAAAUUUGUACCAGGAGUCAGAAGAGUGGAGGCCCUUUGUGGAAGGUCUGGAGUUUGAUCAGAUAGAUGGGUCGGAGAGGGGUUGGCUUGAAAGGAGGUUCGAUAAGGAGGAGAUUCUUCUAGCUCUUAAUGAGUUGGGGGGAGAUAAAGCUCCAGGUCCAGAUGGUUUCUCUAUGGCUUUUUUCCACUAUUGCUGGAGAGUGGUGGAAAGAGAUGUUCUAGCAGUUUUUGAGGAGUUCUAUCAUCAUAGUAAGUUUGAGAAAUCUCUGAAUGCGACCUUUAUAGCUCUUAUUCCUAAGAAAAAUGAUGCUUCUAAUAUUCGAGACUUCAGACCUAUCAGCUUGGUGGGGAGCUUGUACAAGAUCUUGUCGAAGGUUUUGGCAAAUAGUCGUGUUAAGAGCAAGAUUCCGGGGGUUAUUUGUAAGCUUGACAUUGAGAAAGCUUACGAUCAUGUGAAUUGGGAGGCUCUUCUAGAUCUUUUGAAGAGAAUGGGCUUUGGGGAAAAAUGGAUGUUGAAAAGAGUAGAAGGUGCUGGCUUGAUCAAAGGUUUCCAAGCUGUUGGUAGUCGGGGUGUAGGGAAAUCUGUCUCGCAUCUUCUAUUUGCGGACGAUACUAUUCUAUUCUGUGAUGCGGAUGUGGAGCAGAUCCUUCAUGUGCGGAUGCUUCUCCUUUGUUUCCAGGCUGUGACAGGUUUGAAGGUUAAUGUCUCGAAGAGCGAGCUGGUUCCUAUAGGGGAGGUUAAUAAUGUUCAUGCCUUAGCAGAGAUUCUGGGUUGUCGAAUUGGGUCUUUGCCUAUGACCUAUCUUGGUAUGCCAUUGGGGGCUUCCCAUAAGUCCCCUUCUAUUUGGAAUCCUAUCUUGGAGAAAUUUCAGAGGAAAUUGGCCGGGUGGAAGAAGUUGUAUUUAUCUAAAGGUGGUAGGUUGACACUGCUUAAGAGUACGCUUUCUAGCCUUCCUACUUACUAUUUAUCCCUUUUUACCAUUCCCUCGCAUGUGGCUAAUAAGAUUGAGAAGAUUCAGAGGGACUUCUUGUGGGGGGAUUCGAAGAUUCAUUUGGUGGGGUGGGAUAAGGUGUGUGCUCCUAAGGUUAAUGGUGGUUUGGGUAUAAGGAAGUUAACUACGUUUAAUAAAGCGUUACUAGGAAAAUGGCUAUGGCGGUUUGGGGUUGAGGAGACUCGUCUUUGGCGGAGGGUUAUAGCUUUGAAGUUUGGGGAAGAGUGGGGGGGUUGGUCGUCCAAAUUAGGCAGGGGUGUUCAUGGGUGUGGUUUAUGGAGAAGUAUUCGGAAAGGUUGGGAGGUGUUUUCCAAACAUAUCCGAUUCGAGGUAGGGGUGGGGGAUAGGGUGAAGUUUUGGACGGAUCAAUGGUGUGGGGACUUACCUCUCCAUCUAUCCUUCUCGGUAGUGUAUGGGAUUGCUAUUAAUAAGGAGGCAUCUGUAGCCUCGUCUCUCGAGCGUUUGGGAACCGAGGCCCGGAGAAGUUGGAAGGUUCUCCUUCUUAGAAAUCCGAAUGAUUGGGAGUCGGGUGUUGUGGAUGAUUUCCUUCAUGCUCUGGGUUCUAAUUUACCUCUUUCUGAGCAAAGAGACCGUAUGAUUUGGAAACUGUCAAAGAAGGGGGAUUUUGAUGUUCGAUCGUUCUAUGAUAAGUUUCGAUGUCCCUUGCCUAUUAUCUUUCCUUGGAAAGGUGUUUGGAAGGUUAAGGCUCCUAUGCAUGUCUCCUUCUUUGUCUGGUCUGCUGCUUGGGAAAAGAUUCUUACAGGGGACAUUCUGCAGUGUAGAGGCUUCGAUUUUGUUGAUUGGUGCAUUUUGUGCCGUAGUAAUGGGGAGACGGCGAAUCACUUGCUUCUUCAUUGUGGAAAAGCUUUUCAGUUGUGGAGCCUGGUGUUUAGAUCUUUUGGGAUUUCUUGGGUCUUGCCAAGAUCGAUUGCAGAUACGCUUUUCGGCUGUUUCUUAGUAUUUCAGGGUCAGAAAUCUUUAGCAUUGGAUACAGCUAUUGGAAUGUGGCAAUUACUGUUUGCCGAAAAGCAGUGGCUAUUGGUUGAACACUGGAGCCAGUUCUUACAGGCUCGGCAUAACAAAGCAAAUAUCUAGGGACACGUGGUCUCAACUAUUGGAGUUUGCAAGGAUGGUGGACCCUGCAUUAACAAAUUAUGAUGCUGAAGGUGCAUGGCCCUAUCUUAUUGAUGAAUUUGUUGAAUACUUGAAUGAAAAUGGAAUCAUCCAAAAUGUCCAGUUGAAUGAUUUGAGCCAAAAAUGAUGACGAGGUGCUGAAGUAGUGAUUUGUCAUCUUUCUUUAGUGUGGUUAAAUUGCGAUGUUGUGUGAUAGUAUUGGUCUAUCACUAAAAGGUAAAAUCCCCCAAAAAGGAAUGAGAAGACAUGAGUUCCAAUUCAACCUUGUUUUCCACUGACGAUUCAUUUGCAACCUUUGUAGUUAAUGGGACUGCUGAUGUGGUAUGUGCAUUUUCCUGUAAAAUAAGUUAUGAGAAUUGAGAACCUACUAGUACUACUAAGAAUUAGUGUUGGAAUUUUCUUUUGUUUGGAUAAAAUAUUUCCUCUAUACGAUAGUAUGGACUUUGGUA